Molecule: ribosomal RNA, 302 nt
Filed under: uncultured Desulfuromonas sp.
Lineage: Bacteria; Pseudomonadati; Thermodesulfobacteriota; Desulfuromonadia; Desulfuromonadales; Desulfuromonadaceae
Description: bacterial SSU rRNA
Rfam family: Bacterial small subunit ribosomal RNA
Source: RNAcentral
UUAAGUCCCGCAACGAGCGCAACCCUUGUCCUUAGUUGCCAGCAUUCAGUUGGGCACUCUAAGGAGACUGCCGGUGUCAAACCGGAGGAAGUGGGGAUGACGUCAAGUCCUCAUGGCCCUUAUGUCCAGGGCUACACACGUGCUACAAUGGCCGGUACAAAGGGGCGCAAGACCGCGAGGUGGAGCAAAUCCCAAAAAACCGGUCUCAGUUCGGAUUGGAGUCUGCAACUCGACUCCAUGAAGUUGGAAUCGCUAGUAAUCGCGUAUCAGCAUGACCGCGGUCGAAUACGUUCCCGGGCCUU